CCUACGGGAGGCAGCAGUGAGGAAUAUUGGUCAAUGGGCGCGAGCCUGAACCAGCCAAGUCGCGUGAGGGAAGACGGUCCUAUGGAUUGUAAACCUCUUUUGUCGGGGAGCAAAAGACGCCACGCGUGGCGUUCCGAGAGUACCCGAAGAAAAAGCAUCGGCUAACUCCGUGCCAGCAGCCGCGGUAAUACGGAGGAUGCGAGCGUUAUCCGGAAUCAUUGGGCGUAAAGAGGGAGCAGGCGGCCUGGAGGGUCUAUUGUUAAAAGGCAAUGGCUUAACCAUUGUAAGGCGAAGAAACCGGCAGGCUAGAGUUCUAAAGAGGAUCGUGGAAUUCCAUGUGUAGCGGUGAAAUGCGUAGAUAUAUGGAGGAACACCAGUGGCGAAGGUGACGAUCUGGGAAGAAACAGACGCUGAGUCCCGAAAGCGUGGGGAGCAAAUAGGAUUAGAUACCCUGGUAGUC
Molecule: ribosomal RNA, 460 nt
Filed under: uncultured bacterium
Lineage: Bacteria
Description: partial 16S ribosomal RNA
Rfam family: Bacterial small subunit ribosomal RNA
Source: RNAcentral